Molecule: ribosomal RNA, 352 nt
Filed under: Tiarina fusus
Lineage: Eukaryota; Ciliophora; Prostomatea; Prorodontida; Colepidae
Description: Tiarina fusa partial Eukaryotic large subunit ribosomal RNA
Rfam family: Eukaryotic large subunit ribosomal RNA
Source: RNAcentral
AGCUGGUUCCCUCCGAAGUUUCCCACAGGAUAGCUGGAACUAAGCAGUUUUAUUAGGUAAAGCAAAUGUUUAGAGGAAUCGGGGACGUGUCCUCGACCUAUUCACAAACUUUAAAUGGGUAAGAUGCAGUGGUUGCUUGUGUGAUCUUCUGGGGUAAAUGCACUUUCUACGUGGGCCGUUUUUGGUAAGCAGAACUGGCGAUGAGGGAUGAACCUAACGUUGGAUUAAGGUGCCGAAAUGCUCGCUCAUCAGAUACCAUAAAGGGUGCUGGUUCAUUUUAACAGCAGGACGGUGGUCAUGGAAGUCGAAAUCCGCUAAGGAGUGUGUAACAAAUCACAUGCCGAAUGAACGA